GAAACUAAAUGAUAUGCACAGUACAAGAGAAGCAUGCAUUACUGGGACUGAUGCAAAAAUGAUGACAAGCCACUAAAACAUAAGAUGAAAAGUUCAUAUUCCUAUGCUAACUCUCCACGUUGAGAGCAUUAAAAGGGGACUAAUUAACGAACCCGCCAAGCAAAUUUAACCAGAAGGCGCCAACUUAUUGAACAAAAUACAAGACAAGAUUCAACAAAACCCAUAAGAAAUAAAUGACUAUCUAAUUAUGAUAACAGUAAUGAAUCAGUAUGGAUUUCGAGGGCACCUUCAAAUGAGCUGCAGCCUUAU
This 309-nucleotide unclassified non-coding RNA is filed under the name Hevea brasiliensis (rubber tree). Lineage: Eukaryota; Viridiplantae; Streptophyta; Magnoliopsida; Malpighiales; Euphorbiaceae. The record is from RNAcentral.